CUGACCCCACACCUGUUCAUAUCGAUAGCAACACGAAUAUCUGUGGUCAUGAAACGAAUGUCUCGAUCUGCCAUUUGGUGAGUGCGUCUUUUGCGAGAGUUAAGCUGGGUAAAGCUUUCCUUGACUCACCCCUGGGAGCUGGGUCAAAGCUAGAAGCCCCAAGGUGAAGCUCCAGGCAAGGCGUUUUGCGUUUCGUCAACAGCAAAAAGAAGCAGUGACCUUCAGACAUACGACAACAGAGCCUUCACCAGCUGAGCCCUAUCGCCGCCGACAGAGCCCAGGAGUGCCAGCUGAGUUCCCCGCCGAGGAGAGUGCCAGGCACCCAACGGAGGUCAUUAGGCAGGCUGCAUCGGGGCCUCGUCUUUCUGAGACGCCCGGGAGAUGAGAUCUCUUGAAGGAGGCUGGAGAAGUCUUAUCGGCUGAGUACAUGAAUUAAUCAAGCGUCAUACAAAUCAUUUUGCACACACACAAAAACAAGAAUAAAGAAAAAGAAA
This is a long non-coding RNA of Penaeus vannamei (Pacific white shrimp), 494 nucleotides long. RefSeq lists it as uncharacterized. The record is from RefSeq and is a predicted model, not a curated record. Lineage: Eukaryota; Metazoa; Arthropoda; Malacostraca; Decapoda; Penaeidae.